RNAcentral lists this ribosomal RNA (252 nucleotides) under uncultured bacterium. Its description in RNAcentral is "partial 16S ribosomal RNA". It matches the Rfam family "Bacterial small subunit ribosomal RNA", at positions 524 to 776 of the family's 1533-position model. The record is from RNAcentral.
UACAGAGGGUGCGAGCGUUGUCCGGAAUUAUUGGGCGUAAAGAGCUCGUAGGCGGUUCGUCGCGUCGGCUGUGAAACCCGGAGCUCAACUCCGGGCCUGCAGUCGAUACGGGCGGACUUGAGUGUUGCAGGGGAGACUGGAAUUCCUGGUGUAGCGGUGAAAUGCGCAGAUAUCAGGAGGAACACCGCGGUCGGAAGGCGGGUCUCUGGGCAACUACUGACGCUGAGGAGCGAAGCGUGGGGAGCGAACAGG